AUUCUCUUAGUUUAAAAGGUUAGAACUACAUUCUUCUAAAGUGUGAAUUUUGGUUCGAGUCCAAAAGAGGAUA
Termitomyces sp. J132 is the source of this 73-nucleotide transfer RNA. It matches the Rfam family "tRNA". From Rfam's summary of the family: Transfer RNA (tRNA) molecules are approximately 80 nucleotides in length. NCBI's taxonomy places the organism in Eukaryota, Fungi, Basidiomycota, Agaricomycetes, Agaricales, Lyophyllaceae. The record is from Rfam.